GUGAGCCGUAUGCGGGGUAACUCGCACGUACGGUUCUUGAGGGAGUGGGCACUUUCGGCCUGCUUACCUAAU
Molecule: non-coding RNA, 72 nt
Organism: Candidatus Hamiltonella defensa 5AT (Acyrthosiphon pisum)
Lineage: Bacteria; Pseudomonadati; Pseudomonadota; Gammaproteobacteria; Enterobacterales; Enterobacteriaceae
Source: Rfam